CUACGGGGGGCAGCAGUGGGGGAUAUUGCACAAUGGGGGAAACCCUGAUGCAGCGACGCCGCGUGGGUGAAGAAGCGCCUCGGCGCGUAAAGCUCUAUCAGCAGGGAAGAAAAUGACGGUACCUGACUAAGAAGCCCCGGCUAACUACGUGCCAGCAGCCGCGAUAAUACGUAGGGGGCAAGCGUUAUCCGGAUUUACUGGGUGUAAAGGGAGCGUAGACGGUGAUGCAAGUCAGAAGUGAAAGCCCGCGGCUCAACUGCGGGACUGCUUUUGAAACUGUAUAACUAGAGUGCAGGAGAGGGAAG
RNAcentral lists this ribosomal RNA (305 nucleotides) under uncultured bacterium. Its description in RNAcentral is "bacterial SSU rRNA". It matches the Rfam family "Bacterial small subunit ribosomal RNA", at positions 339 to 661 of the family's 1533-position model. The record is from RNAcentral.